Molecule: unclassified non-coding RNA, 684 nt
Filed under: Wenyingozyma nitratophila
Lineage: Eukaryota; Fungi; Ascomycota; Pichiomycetes; Pichiales; Pichiaceae
Description: [Candida] nitratophila partial contains small subunit ribosomal RNA, internal transcribed spacer 1, 5.8S ribosomal RNA, internal transcribed spacer 2, and large subunit ribosomal RNA
Rfam family: 5.8S ribosomal RNA (bases 296-449)
Source: RNAcentral
GUAACAAGGUUUCCGUAGGUGAACCUGCGGAAGGAUCAUUACAGUAUUCUUUUCAGACUGAACUGUGGUUACAAGCGCUGCUGAAAUAUUGCGUGCGCUGUGCUGCUUUUCGCAUAGUCUGGAAAACCUCUUCACACUUUGUUUUCUUAUUAGAGACAAAUUUGCUUUGGUUUUUUCUGUGUAAAAGCAGAGAAGGCCAGAGAAUAAACAAAACUCUGUUUGUUUCUUCGGAAGCUAAACGUGUAUUUUAAACUUUAGUCAUUUUAAUAAGCUGUAAAAGGCUAUAAAAAAUUAAAACUUUCAACAACGGAUCUCUUGGUUCUCGCAUCGAUGAAGAACGCAGCGAAAUGCGAUAAGUAAUGUGAAUUGCAGAUUUUCGUGAAUCAUUGAAUCUUUGAACGCACAUUGCGCCCUCUGGUAUUCCGGAGGGCAUGCCUGUUUGAGCGUCAUUUCCUUCUCACACCCCCAGGGUUUGGUGAUGAGUGAUACUUCGCAAGAAGUUCACUUGAAAUGCAUUGGCAUGAGUUUUUGUUGUAAUUAACAGUUUGUUUAUUCAAUGUAUUAGGUUUUACCAUCGUUGAUUGACGGCUGAUGAGUGCGACGAAGUAUGGCUCUGCCUAACAAACUUUAUCAUAAAGUUUGACCUCAAAUCAGGUAGGAUUACCCGCUGAACUUAAGCAUAUC